Microplitis demolitor is the source of this 1087-nucleotide long non-coding RNA. RefSeq lists it as uncharacterized. The record is from RefSeq and is a predicted model, not a curated record. NCBI's taxonomy places the organism in Eukaryota, Metazoa, Arthropoda, Insecta, Hymenoptera, Braconidae. The transcript is spliced from 4 exons.
ACUUUAAAUUUAAUCUAUUUCCCGCGAGAAUAAGUCGCGCGUAUCUCAGUACGCAUGCGAACUAGAACAUAAACACAUUUAAAAAACUUGUCGUGUCUUUAAAAAAAACAGUCGACGUAAAUAAUAAAAUUAAUUAUUAUUCUUACAUCAUUAAUUUAUUAUAUUUAAAUUAAUGAACUAAUUUGAGUGCUAAUUAAAUUAAUCGUAGCAAGGAUAUUAAGAUGAGAACCUAAAUAGCUACAUUAGUUGCUGUUUUGUCGACAUUCUAACCUAAUUUCAUUUGUCAAAAUAUAUAUCAAUUGAAUGUAUUUACAAUAAGACCGCAAUCAGCACAAAAUAAGUCAGAUGGUGAUCAAUAGAUGUACGUUAAUUUUUACAUUGAUCAUUAUUAAUUCUAAAUCAUGAAUUUAAUAUGAUUUACUUAAUGAACUAGCUUGAAUCCUAAUUAAAUUGCUAGUGACAAUAUUAUAAUUAAUAUGAGAACUGGAAAAGCAACAGAAGCCACAGUUCUGUCAACGAUUUAACCAAAUUUUAUUUGUGAACUUAUUCAAAAAAUGACAGGAGUAAGAAUGGGAAAAAAUGAAUUCUUAAUCAAUGGAUAUUUGUUCUAAAUGUACGUCAAUUCGUACGUUGCCCACCAAAUUAACGGAAUUUCUACCGAUGGCGCAAGAAAGAUGAAUCGAAGAAAACGCAUUUGAAGAUUCUCUAAUUGUCGCAGUGAUAUGAAAGUGUUCAUUCAUAGAGCAUGAACACAUGCAAGUGCAAUUUAAAAAGAGAGAUUUUAUUUCUGCGUAAUUGGUUUUAAAUUUAUCCUUUCAAGAUAAAAUAAAUCUCUUUGAAUUUAACUCACGUGUCAAAUAUUAUUUUAGUUAUUAUAAUUAUAUUAUUAUCAAGUCAAAUGAAACAUAUUUGGCGGUGUAGACUUAUUACAAUAAUGUAAUUAAAAUCGAGAAGUGACGUCGACGAAUAAUGAGUUCACUAUGCAAAUGACAAAAAAAUACAUUUGCUUUUAAAUUAAAAAUACAUUUAUUUGUCAAUUGUUGUUACAUUUUUUCAAUAAAUGUAGAUAUCUAUCAUUUAUUAUUUA